This 465-nucleotide ribosomal RNA is filed under the name uncultured bacterium. RNAcentral describes it as "partial 16S ribosomal RNA". It matches the Rfam family "Bacterial small subunit ribosomal RNA", at positions 36 to 507 of the family's 1533-position model. The record is from RNAcentral.
UCCUCCCUCUUUCUUUGUGCUUAACACAUGCAAGUCGAACGGUAAGGCCCUUUCGGGGGUCCACGAGUGGCGAACGGGUGAGUAACACGUGAGUAACCUGCCCUCAUCUCUGGGAUAACAGUCGGAAACGGUUGCUAAUACUGGAUAUGAGCCUGCAAGGCAUCUUGUGGGUUGGAAAGAUUUUUUGGUUGGGGAUGGACUCGCGGCCUAUCAGCUUGUUGGUGAGGUGGUGGCUCACCAAGGCUUCGACGGGUAGCCGGCCUGAGAGGGCGACCGGCCACAUUGGGGCUGAGAUACGGCCCAAACUCCUACGGGAGGCAGCAGUGGGGAAUAUUGCACAAUGGACGGAAGUCUGAUGCAGCAACGCCGCGUGCGGGAUGACGGCCUUCGGGUUGUAAACCGCGUUCAAUUGUGACGAAGCUUUUUGUGACGGUAGCAGUAGAAGAAGCACCGGCUAACUACGUG